This is a non-coding RNA of Mycena vulgaris, 97 nucleotides long. Lineage: Eukaryota; Fungi; Basidiomycota; Agaricomycetes; Agaricales; Mycenaceae. The record is from the annotation of a GenBank genome assembly.
GACCUGAUAGUGGAGUUGGUGCCACGCCUACCUCUAGUACCUAGCACAAGUAGGGGAUUUUGCGUAGGAGACUCCCGUUCGAUCCGGGGUCAGGUCA